GAUGAACGCUGGCGGCGUGCCUAAUACAUGCAAGUCGAGCGAACGGACGAGAAGCUUGCUUCUCUGAUGUUAGCGGCGGACGGGUGAGUAACACGUGGAUAACCUACCUAUAAGACUGGGAUAACUUCGGGAAACCGGAGCUAAUACCGGAUAAUAUUUUGAACCGCAUGGUUCAAAAGUGAAAGACGGUCUUGCUGUCACUUAUAGAUGGAUCCGCGCUGCAUUAGCUAGUUGGUAAGGUAACGGCUUACCAAGGCAACGAUGCAUAGCCGACCUGAGAGGGUGAUCGGCCACACUGGAACUGAGACACGGUCCAGACUCCUACGGGAGGCAGCAGGAGGGAAUCUUCCGCAAUGGGCGAAAGCCUGACGGAGCAACGCCGCGUGAGUGAUGAAGGUCUUCGGAUCGUAAAACGCUGUUAUUAGGGAAGAACAUAUGUGUAAGUAACUGUGCACAUCUUGACGGUACCUAAUCAGAAAGCCACGGCUAACUACGU
RNAcentral lists this ribosomal RNA (496 nucleotides) under uncultured bacterium. RNAcentral describes it as "partial 16S ribosomal RNA". It matches the Rfam family "Bacterial small subunit ribosomal RNA", at positions 28 to 506 of the family's 1533-position model. The record is from RNAcentral.